This 610-nucleotide long non-coding RNA is filed under the name Anser brachyrhynchus (Pink-footed goose). RNAcentral's name for it is "lncRNA (ENSABRG00000002277.1)". Lineage: Eukaryota; Metazoa; Chordata; Aves; Anseriformes; Anatidae. The record is from RNAcentral.
AUGUCGCGUUCGGUGGAUGACGUGCCCUGUGCCAAUUUCGAGGCCAACAUAUUCGCGAAGAGCCUGUGCCAGCACUGUUUCCGCGCCGCAGGGGCUCACCAGCACGCUAACCAGGAACAUGCCGUGGAGGUGGCAGGGCGCAGCGCCGGCACCGAUGCAGAGCCGGGUGGGCCCUGGGACGCUGUCCGCAUCGUAGCACCCCGGUGCGAGGUGUACGUCUGCGUGGGCCGAGCCGACGGGGCGGCGCGCUGGCACCAGGGCAGGGCACGUCCCCCGCUCAGCCCCGGAGCCGAGGGCGAGCACGGAGAAACCGGCACCGAAGCCCGCGGCCGUGCCGAAGCCAGCUCUGCGCUCGCCAGGGACUGGGAAAUGACCAGGCUGUGGGACAGCUCUUUGGGAUCGGGCAAGCGGGACGCCAUGAGCUACGGGGGCCGCAAGGACGAGGUGCGGGCGCCGCAGGCAGAGAGACCCAGGUGGGGUCAGCCCCUUCCCUCUGGAUCCUGGGUGAGGACAGAGGCCCCGAGCUUUAGGAAAGAAAUCUGCCCGCUGAAAGCAGGUACACUUGGUUUGCUCCCGUGCUAGACCCUGGUUCUGGUUUGCUUUCCGCCUG